GAUGAACGCUGGCGGCGUGCCUAAUACAUGCAAGUCGAGCGAACGGACGAGAAGCUUGCUUCUCUGAUGUUAGCGGCGGACGGGUGAGUAACACGUGGAUAACCUACCUAUAAGACUGGGAUAACUUCGGGAAACCGGAGCUAAUACCGGAUAAUAUUUUGAACCGCAUGGUUCAAAAGUGAAAGACGGUCUUGCUGUCACUUAUAGAUGGAUCCGCGCUGCAUUAGCUAGUUGGUAAGGUAACGGCUUACCAAGGCAACGAUGCAUAGCCGACCUGAGAGGGUGAUCGGCCACACUGGAACUGAGACACGGUCCAGACUCCUACGGGAGGCAGCAGUAGGGAAUCUUCCGCAAUGGGCGAAAGCCUGACGGAGCAACGCCGCGUGAGUGAUGAAGGUCUUCGGAUCGUAAAACUCUGUUAUUAGGGAAGAACAUAUGUGUAAGUAACUGUGCACAUCUUGACGGUACCUAAUCAGAAAGCCACGGCUAACUACGUGCCAGCAGCCGCGGUAAUACGUAGGUGGCAAGCGUUAUCCGGAAUUAUUGGGCGUAAAGCCGCGCGUAGGCGGUUUUUUAGUCUGAUGUGAAAGCCCACGGCUCAACCGUGGAGGGUCAUUGGAAACUGGAAAACUUGAGUGCAGAAGAGGAAAGUGGAAUUCCAUGUGUAGCGGUGAAAUGCGCAGAGAUAUGGAGGAACACCAGUGGCGGAGGCGACUUUCUGGUCUGUAACUGACGCUGAUGUGCGAAAGCGUGGGGAUCAAACAGGAUUAGAUACCCUGGUAGUCCACGCCGUAAACGAUGAGUGCUAAGUGUUAGGGGGUUUCCGCCCCUUAGUGCUGCAGCUAACGCAUUAAGCACUCCGCCUGGGGAGUACGACCGCAAGGUUGAAACUCAAAGGAAUUGACGGGGACCCGCACAAGCGGUGGAGCAUGUGGUUUAAUUCGAAGCAACGCGAAGAACCUUACCAAAUCUUGACAUCCUUUGACAACUCUAGAGAUAGAGCUUUCCCCUUCGGGGGACAAAGUGACAGGUGGUGCAUGGUUGUCGUCAGCUCGUGUCGUGAGAUGUUGGGUUAAGUCCCGCAACGAGCGCAACCCUUAAGCUUAGUUGCCAUCAUUAAGUUGGGCACUCUAAGUUGGCUGCCGGUGACAAACCGGAGGAAGGUGGGGAUGACGUCAAAUCAUCAUGCCCCUUAUGAUUUGGGCUACACACGUGCUACAAUGGACAAUACAAAGGGCAGCGAAACCGCGAGGUCAAGCAAAUCCCAUAAAGUUGUUCUCAGUUCGGAUUGUAGUCUGCAACUCGACUACAUGAAGCUGGAAUCGCUAGUAAUCGUAGAUCAGCAUGCUACGGUGAAUACGUUCCCGGGUCU
Molecule: ribosomal RNA, 1372 nt
Filed under: uncultured bacterium
Lineage: Bacteria
Description: bacterial SSU rRNA
Rfam family: Bacterial small subunit ribosomal RNA
Source: RNAcentral